Mobula hypostoma (lesser devil ray) is the source of this 1439-nucleotide long non-coding RNA. RefSeq lists it as uncharacterized. The record is from RefSeq and is a predicted model, not a curated record. The transcript has 3 exons. NCBI's taxonomy places the organism in Eukaryota, Metazoa, Chordata, Chondrichthyes, Myliobatiformes, Myliobatidae.
AGAAGCAAGCACUAAAUCUACCCCCAUGACUUCCGAUAAAUGCUCAAUAGAAAAGUGUAUAUAUAAAAAAGAUCAACUAAAGUUGAAAAAUAGUAGAAAAGUGAAAAAAAUAAAGUACACUGACUAAAACGGAAAAGAUAUAAUGCAAAAAAAAAUUAGACAUAUAUUAAAAAAACCGUUAACAUUCACCAAAUGGUAUAGUUAGGAAAAGAGAUGAAAUAUCUGCAUACAGUAGCAAAAAAAUUACUAAGUUUAAGGCCUCCAGGCACGUACGAAAAAUGAUGCUGUGGGAGUGGCCACCCAGAAUCACCAGGGAAGAAGAAGAAAUGACACAGUUAAAAAUAAGAGAGUUUGGGAGCCAUAUUAAUUUAACAAAAAAAAAUUCCUGCCCUCGGAUAGAGCAAUAAAAGAAAAAAAAUAACACCAGACAAUUUAAUACCCUCCAAUCAGACACUGAUAAUUUAACAGUGUGAUUAGGAUGUUGAAAGCGAGAGUUGAUCCAGAUAGCUCUGGGCAUCCGACGGAGAGUCCGAUCAGACAUUCAGAUCCUCAAACGUGAGGGAUAUAGCAGAACUGGUUUUAAAUCCAUCUUGUAGAAUUCCUCCAUCACAGAUCUAUAACGAAGACGUUGGUCGCGAACCUGUUUACUAAAAUCCUCCACCUAUCGAAAGUGGAGAUCCGAGAAAUCAAUGUAGCCUUUAGGGCAAGCAAAACGAAGCAACUUUUCUUUGUCCUGAAAAUAAUGAAUUCAAUAAUAACAUGCCAAGGCUUGUCUGACUUAGAUGAAUACGAUGGAACUCUAUGAGCCCUGUCGAACAGUGGUGGUUGAUCAGGAAACACGGUGGAGAAAGAACCUUUUAAAAGUUGAGAGAAAAUCUUAAUAGGGUCUUCAGAUUCCACGCCUUCUUUUAGUCUGAUAAUUCUUAAAUUCUGACGACAUAUUCUGUAUUCUAAGUCAGAAUUUUUAAAGAAGCCGCCGGCCACUGCCACCGCGUGCUCUCCGCUACGUGCUGACGUCACCCGCCUUGAGGGGACGGGAACGCGCCACUCGCGGGUGCGAGCGCGGCGAGAUCGGGUGUCAAAUUCAGCCUGAGUCUCCUGGGUUCAUUGUUCAAACUUGGUGUGGAGGAUACCAUGGAUCACUGGAAAACUCCCAGAGAUCAAGCAAUUUUUUCACAGAAGAGGAGGUAAAAGCAGGUUCUGCUCAGCGUUUCCAAGUACCUCCCAGCCGUCAGUUAUAGUGGGAAGGCAGAAGACUUCCUGAAGCCCUCCUGUCAAACAAGGAAAGGAAAUGUCACAGUGUACUGGUUAACCAAUUCUGGAUUUUCCAUUUUUCACAACAAAGAAAAUAAAACAAUUGGAACACUGUCAGACUAUUGACUGGACAAUAAAAAUAAUCAUAUGCAUUAUAAAUUGUAACACUGAUGCUUCAAAUUAGA